GGAAAUGAAUGCUGCGUUCACGUGUGGUAGACGGUUUGGAACUUUGACAUGGAAUUACUGAGAAGGGUCCGGCUGUAGGCCGAAGAGUCGGCCUUCCAUAGUCCGUAGAAAGAAAAAGAGAAGAGCUGCUGUACAGUUUUUCCAAUUCGAAAAAGAAAUGGAGCUGAAAACGUUUUCUGCCACUGAACAAUGGCACAACAGAAUCAGUCGCAUUUCUCCAUAAAGGCAGAGAAUAUAAAACCAACUUUGAUUACAUUGAGUAAAUAUCAAAAUCAAUCCAAAGCAAAGACCACAGCAUCCUGCUAACAGCCUUCAGAGACAUGAAGGCCACAUUUAUGUAGUAUGCAGUCCUCUUUAGAAUGAAAUGCCGUCUUCCGUCUUUGAGGAAGUGCUGCUGUAGAAUGUUGCUUGAAAACUCCAGCCCCAAGAGGUUUAGACUUUAUUGAGCCAUUAAUGAAAAGACAGAAGAUCAGUAAAGACUUGCACUACCUCUGAAGUGAACAAAUGUCUCGCUAUUCCAUAGCACUGUGUUCUGCAGGUUUCAGAUUUUUUUCUUUUACAAGAAACGUCGGCCUCCCUUCUCCAAUAUCCAGCACAAGAUUCCUUGUAAAUGUGAAGGAAAAGGCUAUAAGCUUUAUGAUGACCAUUUAAAGAACUUUUUUUUUCUUUUUUUAAUAAAACGUAUUACAGCAACACGGAAUCCUUCAGCAUCUUACCGAGGCAGAGAAAUGCUGUGCUGAGAACAUUUCUAUGUUCAGGGGGCUAAUCUCACUCCCUGCAUUACUGUCAAUGGACAAAGACGACAUUGAGGAGGCCCUUCAGAAAUUUGAUUUGUUAUCUGAAUUUCCAGAAGAAGAGGAGAGGGAAUAUGUCUUCAGACCCUUCAUCAUCCUUUUUUUUUCACACAUGGAAGACAUGCAUCUGUUUUUAGAUAACGUGAGAGAAAAAAGGAAAAUGACUGUUUAGUGAGAAAAUGUAGCAAACAUAUAUGGCCAUCAUUGUUCAGUUUACAACCUACAAUUCUUGUUCUAUAUUUUAUAUAUUCUGUAACUUUUUUUGUAAUAAAUGUUGCAAACCAACUUCA
Molecule: long non-coding RNA, 1084 nt
Organism: Polypterus senegalus (gray bichir)
Lineage: Eukaryota; Metazoa; Chordata; Cladistia; Polypteriformes; Polypteridae
Exons: 5
Source: RefSeq, a predicted model, not a curated record